UUUCACCCACUUUGUAUCUAUCGAACAUUUCCCUUUUACAGUUCUCACUGGAAAAAUUGAAAUUGUUGGGACUUUCCUUCUUCUAUCUCUAAAAAAAUUUGUGACUUCUUGAUUUCACACUUUGAUCGCUACAAAUCUUCUAGCUGUAGUUGUGUUUAUUUUCCGUUCUUUUGAAAAUUUAGACUUUGCAAUUCUGCCUUAAUUGGAUAUGUCAUAUGACUGUUUGAAAAUAAGUGUUUUUUUUUCGUUCUUUUAAAAUUUAGACAUGCAUGUUUGCAAUACUGCCUUAAUUGGAUAUAGCUGUUUGAAAAUAAAUAUCUUACACAGAGAUUGGGUAAUUAGUAAUGAAUUUUUAUAUGAAUUUACUCAGCAACUCGAAGUUGAUUUCCUAUACAGUGUGUGCAACCUGUUGUCUUCACCAUUUGUCCUGUUUCCUACUUGCUCAACCCCAACUAUUGCAUCUAUCUACAUUGUCUUUCUUUUAAUUAUGCUUGCAUUCGGAUUCUGCUCUAUAAACAUUCCUUGUUAUGAGUGAUAAAUAUUGCAUCAGGAUCUUUAAUAUGAUAAUCAUCAUUCAGUAACACAUUAUAUAAAGUAAAGAGAAAUUGCAAUUCUGAUAAUAGAACUGGAUAUGGUGGUAACUGGUGACUAAUUUAAGGGCCAAAAUGUAAAUUUACUAUUGGUUAUGCAGCAUUGUGUCCUAUCUGUGAUAAUAGUGCAUACUAUGCUGUUAAGCUGAUAAGAUACAUACGGGAAAAUGUAAAGUUUAAGGGCCAAAAUGUAAAUUUAUUAUUGGUUAUGCAGCAUUGUGUCCUAUCUGUGAUAAUAGUGCAUACUUUGCUGUUAAGCUGAUAAGAUACAUAUGGGAAAACAAGAAGGAAAAUAUAAAGUUUGUUUGUGGUGUACGUGCUAUUCAAUCUGCCAAUACAAUGUAAAUCUGAUUUCUCAAUGCUGCAGCAGUUUUUAUGAAGAUAGUACUCCCUUUAUCCCAAUUUAUGUGAAUGGAUUCCAAUUAUGAGGGUCAAAGUACCUAAUUUUUGUGUGAGUUCGGUCGUAGAUUCUUCAAGAGUUGUUUGAAAUAAAAUAUACAUAAUAAUUUAAAGUAAUUAAAGAGUUUGAAAGAAUUGUAGUCAAAGAAAACACUAUUUGACUCCCCAAAUACUUCAUAUAGAAGGAGGGAAUAAUGAUCUUAUAAUGUUCGUCCUGUCAGGGAUGUCAUGAUAGCAGAUAGUUGAUAUUGUUGCCAGAAUUGGUUGUACUCAGAGGAAGUGUGGUCGCAGUCACAACUGAUUAUUAAAAAAAAGGAUGGUUUACAUUAUCAGUUUCAAAAAAAAGGGAUGGUUAUUGUGGUGACGCUGGUAACAAACUGCUUACAAUAAUAUUGAGAUAUAUGUGUCCAAACCUUACCUGGUACUUAUUGUUGGUGGGAGGUAAUAGGUAUUCAGUGGCAUUAGUUGAGGUGCAUGCAAGUUCGCUUGGACAUCAUGGUUAUUAGAAAAAAAAAAAGUCAGAAUAUAUGAAACUAAUUCAUCUUCUCUUUUUAUCGUCGUCAUUCUUAAGUCAAAGUGCUCUCUGCUGUUUCAUAACAGCAAGAUACCUGGGAUAGAGAGGGGCAUUAGCAUAUUAAACGUCACAUAUGUCUAAGCCGACGUAUGGUUCUAUGUAUUUAUUAAUGUGCUCUCUUCUUUUGUUGAGAAUGUUUGUUUUUGGUAUGUGUUAUGUAAUUCAAUUGUGACAAGUGUUUCAUUCAACGGUCCUACUAAAAGAGAUUGAAAUCUUGAAUUUUCUUUUCUGAAACACAAUACAAUGUCUUUUUUUGAUUCAUUUCCUUCACCUAUUUGAAGAAGAAUACAAUGAUUGGGGGUGUGGGGGUGCAUUGACAGGAGCUAUCGUAUCUGCUGCAAGUAAUAACAACAGGGUCAAGAUUGUUAUGGAUGCCACUACAGGAGGUGCUGUUGCUCCUGCUGCAGAGUUCCUUAAUUAUCUCACAUGAGUUGAGCAAAGAGAAAUAAGAAUUUUUUUACCAGCUAUUGCAAUACAAUGCUUAGUAUUUCCGUUGUUCUCUCUAAUUGUAUCCGUUCAAAAGUACAAGCUUGUGACACAUGAAUCUUAGACGCUUUGACUACUUGUAAUUCAAUCUACAAUUUAGCCAUCUUUCUCUAUCAUUUGCUUUUAUUAUUGGCUAUGUAGAAAAGGAGUGACAUGAACAAUGUGGAUUCAUUCAUUCAGUUGAUCUCCACUUGCUUUGCAUUGAGGAGUUUUUUCUCUAUCAAUUGUUAGAUAGUUCAAGUUGUCUGCGAUGGACAAGGUGAUCGUUAGCAUUGCCUCUUCUCAUGUAGGUUUGUUCUUUUGCUUCUUAAUUGAGGGGUAUUUCUUGGUUCCGGCCUUAUGGGGAAUCUUUUUCUUGGUAACUAACAUAUUCAUUUUAUUACCAAAGUGACAAUACAAAUCAACUACCGGCCUGAUGACAUAACCUAGUAGACUCAAAGAAGAACGAACCCUGCUGAUCAGACUAAUAAUAAUGAGGAUAGUAGUUUAGAUCAUUGAUACAGCUGCUAACUUAUGCCUGACAGUAGCAAUACAAGUAACAUCCAGAAUUACUAGCCUAACCACUUUCUCCGGUGUAGUACUGAUUGUCCUGACAAUCCUACAAUUCCUAUCAUGCCAUAUAUGGUAAACGCAUGCAGCAGUACCCUCCUGAGUAUAUAUGUUGAGGCUGAUCGGCCUUUGACAUUGUUCUCAAUCCACUCAAGUUCACUGGACCAAGCCAAAGCAGUCCUUUGAAUCUUUAUCCAGCUGAUCAAAACAUUCCACACUUUAGCAGCAUAGUUACCCCUAAAGAACAGGUGCUCUGCAGUUUUAUCAUCUCUACCCAUAAGACACUUUUCAUUUACUUGUAUAUGCCAUUUCACCAGCUUAUCUUUUGUCUACAAGCGAUUCAUAAUACCCAGACUUUGUAAGAAAAUUCACUUAGCAGCUCCAUAAUUGUUACACAUCAAUCUCCUCGAAGCCACCUUCUGGAACUCCUACAGUAGCCUACUAUAUACUUUCCUGAUAGAAAACUUCUCCAUAUAUGUAAUUUUAUUCAGAAUCAUACCAUCUUCCUGUGAGUACUUUUGAGCCUUAAAACCUUCUGUAGCAGCCAUGAUGCUUGCUUGGGCAUUACAUCCCUGAUUUGAGCCUCCUUAAUGCAGUAGGAAUGGACUCAUUGCACCCAGAGUUUAUCCUUCUUCCUACACAAAUUCCACAAAACCUUCAGGAUAGCAGUCUUAUUCCACAUUGCAAGAUCAGUGAUGUUGACUCCACUAGCUACCACAUGCCUACACAAAGCUUCCCAAGCUAUUAAAGCUUUAUUGGAUACUUCUGACCUUCCUGUCCACAAGAACCUUCUACAUAUGCCUUUGUUGGAAAGAAACAACAGAACUUAAUUUGUAUAAAGGAAAAAAACAGAUGUUGAACUAAGAAGAGAGAGCAGAAAAACUUGUAUUUAUUUCUUUGCUUAUUGAAAUGAUCACUGUCACAUUUAUACACAAAACCAUAACUGAAAAAGCUUAAUUAAAGGAGUAAAAUAAGUUAUUAUUGCCUAAAGAUUAGUAGCUGUUAUAAAAUCAGAUUGUGCAUGAUUGCAGCCUUAUUUACCUAAACUUAAUCCAACUUUAAAGUUGUAAGCCGAAUUUCAGCAGCUAGUACAGCUAAUCUGCAGCUCUUGAGGCACUAAUCUUAACAGCCUUCCAUAGCUUGAAGAACUACGUAGAUAGAAUAUUUGUAGCGACCAAAGUGUGAAAUCAAGAAGUCACAAAUUUUCUACAGAUAGAAGAAGAACAAAAGUUGUACCAGCAAUUUCAAUUUUCCCAGUGAGAACUAUAAAAAGGAAAUGUUCGAUAGAAACUGGGUGAAACUUUUAGCUGCAUUCUUCACUAUAUAUACCAAGUAAUUGAUAGUUAACACGUGAAUAUACAGGCUUUCCACGUGCCUCAGUAACAAUUAAAAAGGGUCAGAAAAGGAAAUAAAUUUAAAUUCUCCCUGAUAUAUUCUGUGAAGCAUGAUGUACAAUCAUUUGAUGCUGUGAUAGUACAACCCUUGAAUCAUGAUGUACAAUCAUUUAAUGUUGUGAUAGUACAACCCUUGUUGGCUUAUACAUAAGUAUUAGGAUCGAAAAUCCCGGAUAGUGCAGAAUUAAACAAAGUAAUCGAUUGAAUACGAUAACAAAGACGAUAAUAACGAUAAGUUGAGAAAAAAUAAAGGAGGCAUAAAUUUAACGUGAUUCGGUCAGUGUGACCUACGUCCACGAGCGGAGAGGAACAACUUCACUAUAUCAACAAGAGUACAAUAGAGAGAUUACAAAAUUAGAGUAGUCACUCUAAUUAACCCAAAUAUCCCAAGAGAAAACCUCACAAGAUCACUCCAAAAGAAAGGGCUCACACAAAAUAUUUCCCAACACCAAUUCUCUUAACUUAAUACUCUAAUAGGAAGGAAGAAUAAAUACAAGAGAAUGAAAGAGAACUCUUGUAAUUUGAUGUGUAUUACAAUUGAGAAAGAAGGCCUCUAUUUAUAGAGAUGAAAAUGGAGACAAGUAGCAAAAAAUGGAGACAAGUAGCAACUUUGUUUAAACAAGAAGCAACUUGUUUGAACAAGUAGCAACCUUGUUUGAACAAGUAGCAACUUGUUUGAACAAGUAUAAAUCUUGUUUGACAAGUCCAAAAAAUAAUCUUCCAUAAGUAUUUGUUAGAAACUUCCUUUAACAAAGCAAGAGUGAAUCAAACAAAGUCCACAUUACAAAUAUCCACCUUGGCCUGAGUUUGGUUAAUAUAGUAAAUCUUCUUCCUCUCCGCAAAAGCCCGUGUGGGCAAAAUCAUUCUUCACAAACGGCAAUCAAGCUCAAGCAAAGCUUGAACUUACUGACCGGAAGAGACUUUGUGAACAUGUCUGCAGGAUUGUCUCUAGUGUUGAUCUUCUGAACAAAGACCUUUCCUUCAAUAAUAGAUUCUCGAAUAAAAUAAUACUUGAUGUUAAUAUGCUUCGUUCUCUCAUGAUACAUUUGAUAUUUAGUUAAGUGGAUGGCAAUUUGACUAUCACAGAAAAUAAUAAUAUCACCUUGGUAUGGACUGAGUUCAGCAAAUAGACCCUUCAACCACAAAGCUUCUUUGAUAGCCUCGGUCACUGCCAUAUAUUCGUACAAGGAUUUCUUUAACAAGCAAACAUGAUCUUCCUUUCCUUCAAUUUUAAAUCCUUCAGGUUGAUGCAUAUGUAUUUGUUUCUCAAGUUUGCCAUGUAAGAAAGUUGUCUUAACAUCAAACUGUUCUAAUUCCAAAUCAUGCAUGGCAACUAAGGCAAGCAAGACACAAAUAGAGCUAUGUUUAACAACAGGUAAGAAAAUAUCAUUAAAAUCAACUCCUUGUACCUGACUAUAGCUCUUUGCAACUAAUCGUGCCUUAUACUUUGCAUCUUCAACCCCUGGAAUUCCAUCUUUUUUCUUGAAACCCAUUUGCAACCAAUGAUUCUACUUCCUAACGACGGCUUCACAAGAGAUCAAGUACCAUUCUUAUGAAGAGAUUCAAUUUCUUCAUUCAUUGCAAUCAGACACUUGGUUGAAUCAGUACCAGAAACUGCUUCUGAAUAAUUUGAUAGUUCUUUGAUUUCUUCAGUUUCCUGUACAAUUGAAAAAGCAAAUGCAACAUAAUCUCCAUACCUUUCUGGUCAGAGAAUUUAUGUUCUUGGUCUAUGUGUUGCUAUGGAAUACUCAUUUGGUUCAACUUCAGAAGUCACAACUUCUGGCUCAACUUCUGGAUUUUCAACUGUAUUUUGUUCCACAGUUGAUAAUGAGCUUGGCUCAGAAGGUAUGCCAAGAUUAACCUCCACCUGUUCAUAUACAUCAUGCUCUUUGUUCUUGGUACAAGAGCUAGAAGACACUUUUCUAGAAUGUAACAUGAAGGAUUCAUCAAAAGUUACAUCUCUGCUAAUUAUAAAUUUUGGUGACUUGGGAUUAGGGCACCAAAGUCUGUAUCCUUUCACCCCAGAUACAUAACCAAGAAAAAUAUAUUUUUUAGCCCUUGGCUCUAAUUUUCCAUCAUUUACAUGCAUGUAAGCAGGACAACCAAAAACUUUUAAGUCAGAAUAAUUUGCAGGUGUACCUGACCAUAUUUCCUCCGGAGUCUUGAAGUUCAAAGGUGCAGAAGGAGCACAGUUGAUAAUAUAACAAGCUGUAGAGAUAGCCUCAGCUCAAAAAGCAUUUGCCAACCCAGCAUUUGAAAUCAUACAAUGGGCUCUUUCCAAAAGAAUCUUGUUCAUCCUUUCUGCAACACCAUUUUAUUGAGGUGUCAUCCUCACAGUGCGAUGUCGAGCAAUUCCUUCAUUUUUGCAAAAUUCGUUGAACUCGUCAUUACAAAAUUCCAAGCCAUUAUAUGUUCUAAGCCGCUUGACCUGUUUUUUUGUUUGCUUUUCAAUCAAAACUUUCCAUUGUUUGAAAGUUAAGAAAACAUCACUUUUGUUUUUCAGAAAAUAAACCCAAACCUUCCUUGAAUAAUCAUCAAUGAAAGUUAACAUAUACCUCAAACCACCUUUUGAUGGGGUACGGAAAGGACCCCAAAGAUCUGAAUGAAUGUAGUCCAAAGUACCUUUUGUUCGAUGAAUUGCUGGAGAUUUGAAACUGACUCUUUUCUACUUUCCAAACACACAGUGUUCGUAGAACUCCAUUUUUCCAAUACUUUGUCUACACAUUAGACCUCUUUUUCUAAGGAUGGAAAGGCCUUUUUCACUCAUAUGCCUCAAUCGCAUAUGCCAUAAUUUGGUGAUGUUGGGAUCAAGUUGAUUUAAAGUGGAAACUGCAGCAACACCUGUAACAGUGGAUCCCAAUAAAGUGUACAACGUACCUGAUCUGUGUGCUUUCAUGAUCACAAGAGCUCCUGAAGAUACUUUCAAAACUCCACCUUCACCUGUGUAUUUACACCCAAGAGAUUCUAGAGUGCCCAAUGAAAUGAGAGUUUUCAUCAAGUCAGGAACAUAUCUAACAUCCAUGAGAGUUCUCACCACACCAUCAUGAAUCCUAAUUCGGAAUGUACCUUUACCAAAAACCUUGCAGGGAGUAUUGUUGCCUAUCAAGACAACUCUACCCCCAACAGAUUCGAAUGUGUUAAACAAAUCCCUAUUGGGACACAUAUGAUAAGAACAACCCGAAUCCAAAAUCCACUCAUCGUUAGAUUUAAAACUAUUAUUAGUUGCUAAGAAUAUUGUUCCUUCAAACUUAUCAGCAGCUACACUUGCUUCGGUGGAGUCAGCAUUUUGGUGCUCAUUUUUAUUUUCCUUACGCUUUUAUUUGUUUUUCAACUUAUAGCAUUCAGAAAUGAGAUGAACUUUUUUAUGACAAUAUUUGCACACAACAUUUCUAGGUUUAGACUUUGACCUUGAUUGAGACCUCUCACUAUUUGAUUCUUUCUUAUUAGAUCUACCUCUUACAAAUAAUCCUUCCCCAUGGGCUGCGCUACUUUCCCCAGUAAUAUCUCUAUCUAUCUGUUCCUUUGUUUUUAAGAUAGAUUUGAUUUCUUUGUAAGAGAUAUUAUCCUUUCCAUAAAACAUAGUAUCUCUAAUAUGCUUAAAUAAUUGGGGUAAGAAAAUAAGUAAUAAGAUGGCUUGGUCUUCAUCAUUAACUUCAGCGUCUAUAUUAGUCAAAUCCAUAAGAAUAGAAUCAAAAUCAUCAAGAUGUGAGAGUAUAGAGGUAUCUUCUACCAUACAAAAUGUGUAAAGCUUUUGCUUCAGGUAAAGUCGAUUUUCCACUGUCCUCUUCAUAUACAAGGCUUUUAGUUUUUCCCACAUGCCUUUUGCUGUGGUUUCUGCAGAUACUUCACAUAAAACCUCAUUUGAGAGAUUUAGAAUAAUACCUGAUUUUGCCUUUUUGUCUAUGACGGCAAAUUCUUCGUCUGUCAUUUUUUUCGGCCUCUUCUCCUUUUCUUCUAGUGCCAUAUCUAAGCCAUCCUGAAUUAAGAUAGCUUUCAUCUUUAAUUGCCACAUCCUGAAGUUUGCACUUCGAUCAAAUUUCUCAACGUAAGUCUUUGUUAUAGUCAUUUUGGCUACUGAAAAAUAACCUGGUUAGAUACGGCUCUGAUACCAAUUUGUUAGGAUUGAAAAUCCUGGAUAGUGUGGAAUUAAACAAAGUAAUCGAUUGAAUACGAUAACAAAGACGAUAAUAACGAUAAGUUGAGAAAAAAUAAAGGAGGCACAAAUUUAACGUGGUUCGAUCAGUGUGACCUACGUCCACGAGCGAAGAGGAACAACUUCACUAUAUCAACAAGAGUACAAUAGAGAGAUUACAAAAUUAGAGUAGUCACUCUAAUUAACCCAAAUAUCCCAAGAGAAAACCUCACAAGAUCACUCCAAAAGAAAGAGCUCACACAAAGUAUUUCCCAAGACCAACUCUCUUAACUUAAUACUCUAAUAGGAAGGAAGAAUAAAUACAAGAGAAUGAAAGAGAACUCUUGUAAUUUGAUGUGUAUUACAAUUGAGAAAGAAGGCCUCUAUUUAUAGAGAUGAAAAUGGAGACAAGUAGCAAAAAAUGGAGACAAGUAGCAACUUUGUUUGAACAAGAAGCAACUUGUUUGAACAAGUAGCAACCUUGUUUGAACAAGUAGCAAUCUUGUUUGACAAGUCCAAAAAAUAAUCUUCCACAAGUAUUUGUUAGAAACUUCCUUUGACAAAGUAAGAGUGAAUCAAACAAAGGCCACAUUACAAUAAGAGUAAAGUAUGGUUGAGUGAGUUGAUACGUAUGGAGUAUGGUUGUGUAAAUUGGUAUGUAUGGAGAAUGACCUUAAAAGUAGAAAUUAGUAUGCACCUAAGAUGUUUGGUGCAAAGAAAACAUUUUAUGAAGUCGUUUGCUCUCAUUACUUCAAUAGUAGGUAAUGUUGUUUGCUUUUAGACUCAAAACAGUAUAACUAAUGUCCAAAUUAUGUGGUAAAAAAUCUGUGCCUUAUUAUUGCUUGCACAGAUUGAACACAAGCCAGUGCUCAUGCUAAAUUGUGUCCUGCUAUCUUUUCAGUAUACAUGGUCUUAAGAUCGAGCAUUGAUAAGAUAACAACCGACACUGCUGACUGGACAUGCAAGGUCCAAAUCAUCGACAUCAGCCGAGAGAGAAAAAGUCCAGAGAAGCAAAUGCAAUUUCAAAAUCUGAUUUUAGAGGAUGAACAGGUAUUGUUGUAUGCAGCAAAUUGCAUCCUUCUAUGCAUCCAAACUAUACAGACACCAAUUGCAAUCCACUCCCCAGUUAAACAACAAAAUCUUGAAGCUUUCCUCAAGUCAGUGAGAACCAUAUCCGAUUAUAGAAAAUGCUCGAGUUUUUAGGUGAAAUCAAAAUGUUGUCCAGGACACAUAAUUUAGUGUCAGGUCUAAAAGCAGAAUGCACCAGACAACUUCUCCUUUAGCUAAUUCAUAAGAACAAUCCCUCCACACAAUGCACAAACUUAUCAGAGUAAGACAAAAAGAAAUAUAUCUCUGAUUUUUUAUUAGUUCUAUUAUAAUAAUUUAAUGAUGUAGGGAAGGUUAUCAUUGGGGAUAUUUCGAAAACACGGAAACUGAAGAGUACAAAAGAACUGUGUACAAAUGAUAUGACAAAAAGGACAAACAAGACAAAUAUGCGAAUAUUAUCGGACAGAUAGCCUGAGCAUGAUAGAGAAAUAAUGACUGACGCCACUAAUGGCUUUGCCACGUAGUCAGCUCCCAUUAGGUGUGGUAUUUUAGGGCUCGAUUGGAGCAUUUUAUGACAUUUUGAUCCUAAAAUAUUGUUGUCCUCCAAGUUUUCCUUAUUCACCAAGUCUUUGUUUCAUUGAAUAUAUGCAUUUAUUUUUCUAAAUUACUUUCAGGCCUGAAACACACAACACUGGAUUCAGUGAUUGGAUACAUUAUUGAAGCUCAAAAGCUUCAUUUGACUCCUCAUUUACUUGCAUUAUCAUAUUUACAUCGCUUUCUUAGUAUUGGAAUACUCAAUUGCCAAUAAUCAAAUAUUACGGGUUCAACUACGAUGCCUGUCAUUGACCUCAUACAUAUUUAAGUAUACUGUUUUUCUGAUGAACAUAUAUGUAUAUGUGUGUAAAAUUUUAAAUUCCCUUAUGAAAAAUACAUAUUCAAAUCCUAAAUGUUAUAUGUUUGGAUUCUCAUUUUAGUUUACUAAUAAAAAUUUCUAGCGUUGUCACUACCUUAUAUUCAGCAUUUCGCUUAUACUUCUACAAAAGAGUCUGUUUCUACGUUUUUCACAUGACUACUCACACAUAUCAAAAGAGGACAGAAUGAUAAUAAAAGUUAAAAGAAAACUUGGGAGAGGUGAUUAAGGACCACUCGUGUAGUAAUCCUACUCAUCCAUGUAGACUAAUAUCUAAUUAGUAUCAGUAAAUAAAGAAAAAAUUAAUGAUAAACAAUAUACUCAAACUAUCAUCUUUUCACGAGUUUUAUGUCUCAACUAUAUUCAUUGUUUCAUUAAUUGCCUAUCUAACUUAUCACUUUCUUUGUAUUAUUACACACCUCGCUUGAUGCUAAGUUGGCCUACACGUGUGUGUUGUCAAUUGAGAACAAAUAUUAGGUCAACUCAUCAUCGAGCGUGCUUUAAUACAAAGAAUAAUACAAAGGGGGUGAGAGAUUAGGUAAGGUAAAAAUAUUAAUAGAAAUUUGAGAUAUGAAACUCGCGAAAAGGUUUGGUUGGUUUAGGUGUGCUUUGGAGCAUCAACUGAAUAAGAAAUUCUGUAAUCUAAUUAUCGAGUUGUGAAACAAUGGCCAGGCAAUUGCUAGUCAUUUUAGUCAUUCUUUCACCAUACGCAUUCAUGGGAGAAACGACAUCUUCAAAGGCAUCUUCACAAUCAGAAAUGUCAGUAAUUGCAGCACUGAGCAUAGUGCUCAUACGUCCACUGUCAUGAAUAUGCAGAGCCUGAAUAGCUUGCUUAUAAUUGUAGGCCACAGUAUCCCAACUGUCGAGGCAAGUUUUAAGCAUUGUCUUAGUUUUGGGAGAAGUAGCAGGGGAAUGUGAAGCUCUUUUAAAAGUUGCAAAUGCCAAUUUGGCGAACCGAUCGCUCGCCUUCAUUGCCACUUGAAGAACAUUUUGUACGUUGAUGGCAUUUCCACGCAUAAGCGGAAAGAUGGUUUCGGUGCAAAGAUCAGGAUAGUCAGUAUUGUCGCAUAUCUCCUUUAUCGUAUCAUGAUCACUAAUUGCACCCUCAUCUUUCCGCUUAUCAGUGGACGUAAGAGAAGAAACGAGGCCAGAGGCGCCUAAUUGAUCACUAGAAGAAAUUGAAUCGAUGGAGAUGGAAGAAAAUUCUGAUUGUGACCGUGAAUUUUCAUUUUCAUAUCCAGGAGGGUAUGGAAAAUAACUGGUUGGUGAAUUUGCAUUUUGUUUUGAAGAAGAAGAAGAAGCUGUGGGUUGCAUGCUUGGUGCAACAAUUGGGGAUGAGUUAUUGAGAUUAUCGUUAUCUACGGAUUGAGCUGAAGUGAGAGUGAAGAGAAAGAGGGAAAAAAGGAACAGAGAUUCCAUGUUUUAUUUGAAAUUUUUAAUUAAUUGACCAAAUGGUGAAGGGAGGAAUGAAUAGAAAGGAACAAAAUGAACAAGUAAUUGAGGGAGGGAGGAAAGUUGAGUUACCAUAGAAAACAGGUUGACAUGAAAGAAAAUAGGAGAACCUUUAAAAUGUUUAACAAAUUAAAGUUACCAGUGGACAUCUACAUUGUCGGCAGUCUCUACAUAAUACUAUAUAAUUAAGUCUAUACGAACCAUUGUUAUAUGUACAAAUAUAUUACACAUCCAUUGGCUUAAAAAUUCUGGAUAACAUACUACUUAUUUUCGAGACAAAUUCCUAGCCUAUAUUAAAUUAAAGAUAACAUAGAGCGAAGUGUAUCGUGGACUUCACGGUUCCAAAUGAAGAUCAUAAACUUAAGAAAAUAGAGCGAGUGAAAAGCUAGUGAAAGAUGGUCAUUUUUAUUUGAUAUUUAUGCUGGUCCAAGUGUUGUUAAUAUAGGAAUGGCAAAUUCAUAUUCGAUUAGGGUAUAAAAUAGACUUAUACUGCCGUUUUUUCAUCCAAAUGAAAAGGCAAAUAAAUUAAUAUAGAACCUCAGAAGAGAUUUAUAUUCCUUUGAAAAUGAUAUUAUAGGAGCUAAUAAUGAUCUAACUUCUAUGAUUCCUCUAUCGCAUUUUUUGUCUACUGGUUUUGUGUGCAUGGCAGGAGGUGGCCGGUGGUUGUUUUUCUUGAUUAAUCAUGAUAUUGGUUUGUGUUCUUCUUCCUCCCCUCCUUUCUGGACUACACUAAUAUACCUAUGAUAUAUAAUGAAUUUAUACAUUGAUAGUAUAAGUGCCUGCUUGGAUGGUGGUUUCUCAUGGUAUGGUAUGAUAUGAUUAUCAAAGGAACCAUAUUUGUUUUGAUUAUUUUCUAAAAUAUAUGGUAUGGUAUAGUAUCUUUUCAUGGUCUGAUAAUCAUAGAAUUCUUUAUUUUUUAAAACUACCGAUUUGGUGGUAUCCCAUGAUUUUCUUAUUUCUUUUUUCGAUUACGCCCUUACUUAAUAUUUUUAAUCGUACUUUACACCCUCCUCUGCGUUCUUCUUUCUUCUUCUAUUGUCUCUUUUCUGCGCUCGUUCUGUCUUUCUAAGUUUGUUUUUUUUAAAUUUAACUGCUUAUUGUUCUCUCUCCAUUAAAAAUUUUAUUCUAGAAAUUUGAGUGUCUUAAUUUUCAGAAGCACAUGUACUGGAAAUAGGUGAAACCAUGUUCAUACAAAUAUGUGCCUAGCCUAUUCAAUUAUAAUCAAAUUGAUUAAUGCAUCGACCUGUGAAGUUGCUCAUGAUUUAUCUGAAAUAAAAAAGAAAGAUAGUUCUGACACUUGUGGGUCAAUAGAAUCUUGAUGGUGUUUUUGAUCUUUUAUACUAAUAUACUUCAAUAUGGGUUCUUCAUUGUUAUACUAAAAAAGAUGAUCUUUUACACGAAAGCUCAUGAUUGUUACCUGAAUUCAAAGAGGAACCUACAACUAUUGAGUUAAUAUAGCUCUUUCUUAAGAUAAUCUAGUCCAAUACUAUAUUCAGGAACCUACAACUAUUGAGUUAAUAUAGCUCUUUCUUAACAUAAUCUAGUCCAAUACUAUAUUUUCUAUUACACAUUUUUGGCUUUUCUAUGGGUCGUACAGAGGAUGUUUGCGCACUUUCCUAUAUUAUUUUUGAUAACAAUCGGAUAAAUUUGCUUUAAUCCCUUAUAUUUGUGGAAAGAAAAUUAUUUUAUUAAUAAUUAUUGAUAAAUUCAAAAUUUAUAACACUUAGGGCAUUUUAGUAAACUUACCCGUUACGAUACAGUACCAUACCAUCAAACCAAACAAAAAACUCUUACUAAACAGUAGUGAACGAUACAGUCAAUCCAAACAUUGUAUUGUACUAUACCAUACAGUACCAUCCCAUACCAUACAGUACCGUACAUUAUGAAACCGUGACAAACCACCAUCCAUAGUAGAUUACUUGCCUUCCCUUCCCAUUUAUGUGAUAUUACCAAGCCUUGCACUUAGUUUUCAGCAGUAUAUAACACUGAAAGUGAAUUACUGUCUAUUUUUACAAAGAACUCUUUCUUUUUUUUUUUUUUUUAUAACUAGUAGAUUACUUGCCUUCCCUUCCCAUUUAUGUGAUAUUACCAAGCCUUGCACUUAGUUUUCAGCAGUAUAUAACACUGAAAGUGAAUUACUGUCUAUUUUUACAAAGAACUCUUUCUUUUUUUUAAAAACCUUCUUCUCACAGGAUUAGUAUUUUUACCUGUAUCAAAACCAUAUUUUCCAUCUUUCAUGUAGAUUGAAGGAAGCCCCCAUGUAAAACACAACAAUAAAACACAAUACUGCCUUCUUUAGUGAAGCUACCUUAAAAUCUAAGAUGACAAGCAUAUAAAUAGAUGAAGCCAGAUUAGAGUUCAAAAAGUUUAUUUACCACAACAUGACAGGAAUUACAUACGUUCAAAAUGAGGGUACAUAAUACACACAUCAACAUGUUCAAGCUUGAUCCUAAUCAAGCUUACAAAACAGAUAAGAUUAUUUUAACAUAAGCUUAGAUCUCAAUGACAAUAAAUCAGCUCUGCCUGUAUAGGAGUUCAGCUCAUUGUAUAAUUAGUCUUCUGCCUUCUUCACAACAGUAACAGGACAGGUAGCAUUAUUCACCACAUAAUUGCUUACACUUCCCAUAAUAGCCCUGUGAAGAUAUUGAGGAAAAACUAUAAGUUACAAUAUUCCCUUUAUUUUGAGCAGAGUAGACGUAGUAAUGCAAUUACUAAAUGAUUAUGAGCUUUUUGCUGAAAUUCCACUCGAGUAAUACCAAGUUUACUCAUGCUACCUAAAUACAUUUGGAAUAUGGUAGCAAGAACAUAUUGGCAUCUUUGUCAAGGAAUAACUGCAACCAAAGCUCCGGUACUCCACAAUAGUUGCAAAAGAUAAAGCAGUGAAGUGACUAAUUUCCACUUUGACUUAAUACACAACAUGAUAUUCAGUCACAAAAGGAAUUACAGAAAAGAUAACACCUCUUGAUCUUUCCAAGCCCUCUGUUCCCUAUGACCAGACAGCUCAAGGGAGUUCUGUCAAUUGCUUCACAUAACUUCUCACGAGCAUCCCCCCAGAAAAUUUUCAUGACAACUGUAAUCUGCAAGCAAAAAAAUCCUGUAAGAAUACUUAAUCUAGGUAUGCUUCCUGAGAAACACCGGAUCUCAUAAAAGAAGAGAAAAUAUCACCUCCAUUUGCCUAGCAGCGAGGCUUAUCAUUUGCAAUGUUUCGGGGUCAGGGUUAACCCCAUACCUUUUCAUUGUGUGGCUAUCACAUAACUCGGAUAAGGGAAUGAAAGCUGUAAAAGAAAAAAAAGAACAAAUAGAUCUCAAAAGAUGUAUCAGAAGAUAGAAUCUCGCUAAUCAAAUAUCGGAUAUUUUAGCAGUAACAAGCCCAAGGCGACAUGCUUUCACUGCUAUGAUUCUUAGGAAGCUACUAUAGCUCUUGGCUCUUGCACCUAGACACGUCAAAAAGAUAAAUAAAGGUAGGUGCAAGCAUGAACUAGAUGAUUCCGGAUAUGCAACGCUCUACCCAGUUAAAGAUUAAACAGUUUGCAGGUAUACUAAUACAAGUAAUUGUGGAGACUAAACAUCCAUAUGUACCCUAAUGCAAUCUAGUUUCCUAUCCCCUCUACCAAACCAAAACUAAAUUCCCAAAACAAAUACUUGUAAUGUCUCCAUAUUUGACACGGAUGGGAUUCUCUAUGAAACUCAAAAAGCAUUAGCUGUAUCUUUAAUCCUGAUGAUGACACUCUGGAACGUAUAUCAAAAAUCUCUUUAUAGUGAAACAUAAAAAAUCUCCAUACAUAGACAAGUGAUUUAACCCUAUUCCAGUCACCAGAGUUCCCAUGUCCAUGACAUCUAAUCAACAAGCAUAAAAAAGCAGAUAUUUUUCUAGGUACGUCAGCAGAGAUUUCUAGGUUCAUCAACAAAAGAUAAACCUUAUCUGAUCUUCUACGUCACUGAACUAGUGGAUUGCCCAAAGCUACGAAAAGUUUGACCCUCAAACCAUAAGAAUAUAGUAGGACAGACAAAAAAGCUCCAAAAUUUUCACCAGCUAGCGCACCAUUUGUGUCUGAAAGUAAAGGAAUCUAUCUAGCUAUCAAACUUUCUGAGUGAAAAAUAUACUCCUUCAAUAUACAGAUAGACAAAAGAAAGCAAGAUGCCUUGCAACACUGCCAGUAUUUACAGCAAGGAUUGUAACCUACAAUGUUUUAAUUAGUUAUUUCAUCUUGAUACCCAACAGAUUAAAAAUGACUCAGAUGGCCAACAUAUCAAUCAAUUCGACUAUGUGAAUCCUCUUACUCAAUUCAUCAUCUACUGCCGAGUAGUGGAGCUAUGAUUUUUACCAAGGGGUUUAAAAAUAUAAAGAGGUAAACUCAUGAAGAAACCAAGGAGAUUCAACAUCUACUACAUAUAUAUUUAAAAAAUUAAUAUUGACCAAUAUAGUGUAUUUUUUAACCCCCCUUACGUUACCCUGGCUCCGGCCCUGCUACUAAAGUCAUUCCUUUACACCUGAGUGCCGAUCCUCCUCCUUUAUCUGUGGAAGACCGGGUAUUCUUUGUAAAGCUUACACAGAAGAAGUUGAGAUGACCAACAUAUAUAUGAGCCUAUAAAAUCAGUCACAAGAUGGAUUAAUUUUAUUUAUUGGGGUUGGAUUAGAUAAAAGUAGAGGGACAUGAGAAAGAAAAAGGAAUUAAUUAAAGAGAUCAUACGAGAACUAGUGGCCACCCAGAGUUGCAUCUCGCUUUCUUCAUAGUGUCCGUCAGGGCGCACAGUAACGAGAAUAAGGGUAUCCCCUUUACGAAUAAUGUUAUCAAUCGCCCAUUUCAAAGCUUUCUUGCUGCAUGCUGAGAAAUCUACUGCUACCCCAACAAAUCUAUCACCUCCUUCCAUCCCUCUUUAAGAUUUUUGCUUUGAUUAAGAACUUUCAACAACAACAAUAAUGGAGAGAGCAACUUGAUCACGACUAUUUCAGGAUGGAAGAAGACAAGUACUCAAGUAGUGCAAUGUUGAUUUGUCGGAUGUCAUAUUUUCCUACCACUUGUAAAGCCAAAAUGAGGUUGUUGGGACCCACUUUUCUGGCUCAUGAAAUUCCCACUUGUCUCUUUCAUGCUUUCUUUGACGUGAGGACAUCACGUUCUAAUAUAAAUUGGAUAAGUGUAGUGUAAUUUAACUAGUAUACUAGUAUUGUCUUUGCUGAGAUUGAACAUUACUUUUUCACAAUGCAUCCCUCUAAAUCUUGAACUGUUAUAUUUGAGACUUGAGAGCGAGAAUUUACUAGCUGGAUUAUAAGUUGGUCAUAUGAAAUUUUACUUUUUUGUAAGGGUGUUUAAAAUCAAAUUGUAACCCAUAAUUUAAUUAUAUAAUUAGUUUAUUGGCUAUUUGGUUUACCGGUAACGGGUAAUCGGAUUAACUAUUGGAGAAUGCAUUAAAAUUUUAUAAUUAAUGAUUUAUCAAUGUGGGAACGGAAUUUUCAAUUUUCUUAUCGGGUGAACCGUUAGCCCAUUAAGAAUUAUCAUGUUUAUAUUUUUUACCCCUAGAUAUAUAAAGUUUCUUUUGUAAAUCCAAAAACUAAAAUUUCAUUCAUUAUUCUACUCAUUACAUCUCGUGACUUCUAACCAUAAAGUGUAGUUGAUCUUCCUAACACAUAUACAAAACCUAAAAUCAAGUCCUAAAUCUAAAAACGAAUCAUUCUUGAUAACAUGAAGAACCGUAACAAAAAUAAAACAAUGUCGAUAUGUCCUUCACAAAAUUUCAUAUAAAACCAAAAACAAAAAAUCAAAUCAUAUCAAGGUUUAAUUUUUCUUUCAACCAAUAAUUAAAAAGUUUUGUUUCUACAUAUGUUUUACGUCUAGAAGAAAAUUUUCAUAUGAAUCUAUGUUUUUACAAAGAACUCUUUCUUUUUUUUUUUUUUUGAUAACCUUGAUGUUCGGGUUAACAUGACCAAAAUAUAAGUUUCAGCUAUUAUGAAUGAAAGGUCCAGCAACCACAUAAUGUCAAGCUUAAAACAGAACAUACAAUAGAAUUCAAACCAUCCUUAUUUAGUAGAUUCUCAAAAACCUUCUUCUCACAGGAUUAGUAUUUUUACCUGUAUCAAAACCAUAUUUUCCAUCUUUCAUGUAGAUUGAAGGAAGCCCCCAUGUAAAACACAACAAUAAAACACAAUACUGCCUUCUUUAGUGAAGCUACCUUAAAAUCUAAGAUGACAAGCAUAUAAAUAGAUGAAGCCAGAUUAGAGUUCAAAAAGUUUAUUUACCACAACAUGACAGGAAUUACAUACGUUCAAAAUGAGGGUACAUAAUACACACAUCAACAUGUUCAAGCUUGAUCCUAAUCAAGCUUACAAAACAGAUAAGAUUAUUUUAACAUAAGCUUAGAUCUCAAUGACAAUAAAUCAGCUCUGCCUGUAUAGGAGUUCAGCUCAUUGUAUAAUUAGUCUUCUGCCUUCUUCACAACAGUAACAGGACAGGUAGCAUUAUUCACCACAUAAUUGCUUACACUUCCCAUAAUAGCCCUGUGAAGAUAUUGAGGAAAAACUAUAAGUUACAAUAUUCCCUUUAUUUUGAGCAGAGUAGACGUAGUAAUGCAAUUACUAAAUGAUUAUGAGCUUUUUGCUGAAAUUCCACUCGAGUAAUACCAAGUUUACUCAUGCUACCUAAAUACAUUUGGAAUAUGGUAGCAAGAACAUAUUGGCAUCUUUGUCAAGGAAUAACUGCAACCAAAGCUCCGGUACUCCACAAUAGUUGCAAAAGAUAAAGCAGUGAAGUGACUAAUUUCCACUUUGACUUAAUACACAACAUGAUAUUCAGUCACAAAAGGAAUUACAGAAAAGAUAACACCU
This 18353-nucleotide long non-coding RNA is filed under the name Capsicum annuum. RNAcentral describes it as "long non-coding RNA (CANN_LNC001196)". The record is from RNAcentral. Lineage: Eukaryota; Viridiplantae; Streptophyta; Magnoliopsida; Solanales; Solanaceae.